AGAUGGAUCAUUCACAGUGAAUGCUUACACAUGCUGGCACGCCGACUUGGAACACACAAAAUUAAAGAAAUUGGUUUUUGACUUGGGCCAUACGAAAUUAAGGAAACUGGUUUUUGACUUGGGGCAUAUGAAAUUAGAGUAAUUGGUUAUUGACUUGGACCAUACGAAAUUAAGGAAACUGGUUUUCGACUUGGGGCAUAUGAAAUUAGAGUAAUUGGUUUGGACCAAACGAACUAAAAGUAUGUGGUGAUUGGCUUGGACCAAACGAACUAAAAGUAUGUGGUGAUUGGCUUGGAUCAAACGAACUAAAAGUAUGUGGUGAUUGGCUUGGAUCAAACGAACUGAAAGUAUGUGGUGAUGGACUUGGACCAAACGAACUGAAAGUAUGUGGUGAUGGACUUGGACCAAACGAACUGAAAGUAUGUGGUGAUGGACUUGGACCAAACGAACUGAAAGUAUGUGGUGAUGGACUCGGACCAAACGAACUGAAAGUAUGUGGUGAUCGACUCGGACCAAACGAACUGAAAGUAUGUGGUGAUUGACUCGGACCAAACGAACUGAAAGUAUGUGGUGAUUGACUCGGACCAAACGAACUGAAAGUAUGUGGUGAUUGACUCGGACCAAACGAACUGAAAGUAUGUGGUGAUUGACUCGGACCAAACGAACUGAAAGUAUGUGGUGAUUGACUCGGACCAAACGAACUGAAAGUAUGUGGUGAUUGGCUUGGACCAAACGAACUGAAAGUAUGUGGUGAUUAGCUUGGAUCAAAUGAACAAAAAGUAUGUGGUGAUUAGCUUGGAUCAAACGAACAAAAAGUAUGUGGUGAUUAGCUUGGAUCAAACGAACAAAAAGUAUGUGGUGAUUAGCUUGGAUCAAACGAACAAAGAGUAUGUGGUGAUUAUCUCAAAUCAAAUUGUAUGGUGAAUUUCACGACUUUCAGCGAUGGAUGUCUCGGAUCUCGUAACGAUGAAGGACGCAGCUAGCUGCGAUACGCAGUGUGACUUGCAAACUUCUGAGAAUCACUAGAUUUUUGAACGCAAAAGGCACUCUUGGGUUCUGCUCAGGAGUAUGCUCACUUCAGUGCUUUAUCUGUUUGUUGUCUUAAUUGGUAGACAACGUGGAUAGUUGCUGUUCUUACGGCUUCUGAAAUCGAAUGGUCUUCGACUCUUUGGUGAACCCAUAGAGCCACCGGCCAAGUUGUUAAUCAAACAAGCCUGAAUUUGAGCAAGGCUACCCGCUGAAUUUAAGCAUAUUAUUAAGCGGAGGAAGAGAAACUAACUAGGAUUCCCUUAGUAACGGCGAGUGAACAGGGAAGAGCUCAAACUGAAAAUCGGCAGCUUGCUGUUGAAUUGUAGUCUCGCGAAGUGCAACCUGUGUUUGUUCUGGGCUGAGUCUCUUGGAAAAGAGUACCAAAGAGGGUGAAAGUCCCGUCUUUGCCCAGGAAUAUUCACGUUCGGUGCAUUUUCAAAGAGUCGCGUUCCUUGCGAUUGGAGCGCUAAGUGGGUGAUAAAUUUCAUCUAAAGCUAAAUACUAACGAGAUUCCGAUAGCAUACAAGUACCGUGAGGGAAAGAUGAAAAGGACUUUGAAAAGAGAGUUAAAAGGAACUGAAAUCGCUGAAAGGGAAGCAGACAGUCUUGGCCAUCCGCAAAUCUGGGUGUUUGACUUAGUCUAUAUGGCUGGUUUUGAAUGCUAGAGUUCUGCGGUGAUUCUGGGUGAGGUCGACGAAAUCGAGAGAAGCAAAUGUGUGUACCUCAAGGGGGUCACUUUCUUGCUGUUGCCUAUUUCAUCGAUCUAUGAACUAAUGCGGCACCUUAGUGGUUGCAUUAUAGUACCCCAGAGACGUCCAUUACUGUCUGUCCCGUCUUGAAACACGGACCAAGGAGUCUAACUUAUGUGCGAGUACAAGGGUGGAAAACCCACGUGCGAAAUGAAAGUAAUUGUCAGGAAGGGCAACCUGCACUGACGCCCGGCUAUCAAGCUGAGGCUGAGCAUAUAGGUUAGGACCCGAAAGAUGGUGAACUAUGCCUGAGUAGGGUGAAGCCAGAGUAAACUCUGGUGGAAGCUCGUAGCGAUACUGACGUGCAAAUCGUUCGUCAAACUUGGGUAUAGGGGCGAAAGACUAAUCGAACCAUCUAGUAGCUGGUUCCCUC
Molecule: unclassified non-coding RNA, 2151 nt
Filed under: uncultured fungus
Lineage: Eukaryota; Fungi
Description: sequence contains 18S rRNA gene, ITS1, 5.8S rRNA gene, ITS2, 28S rRNA gene
Rfam family: Eukaryotic large subunit ribosomal RNA (bases 1211-2151)
Source: RNAcentral